CAAAAUCUCUUCCAUUUCUAGUUAGCCUUGCAUAGAUUCCUAUAAUAUCCAAAUGAAGUAAUAUCCUUCAAAGACCCAAAUACUUCUUUCUCAAAUACCAAAGACAGCUAAUUUCUGGUUCCCAGUCUGAUAGAUUGUGAUCAAAAGGAGAUAUUAAAGGCCAUCUAACUCAAUUCCUUCAUUUUACAGAUGAGAAAACAGAUUCAGAGAAGUUCAGUGGGGUACAAGUCUUUUCAAUGUCAAAGAAAACAUUGCUCUCUCUCAGAAAGCAGGAGAAACGCUCUGAAGAGGAUAAAAUGGAAGGUGUUCCGCUAUUUACACAGGGUCUUAUUGCUAAGGAACGACCAGGACGGAAAGAAGAGGAAGAUUGAAUAACGGAGCCUCAUCACUGGUGACCUAGCUUCAGUCGCAGAGUUGCUCAAAGCCUCAGUUCAAGCAGGGUGAACUCAUUACAAGUACCCAGAGAUUCUUCCCCAAAAUCUUCAGCGUGAACCGGGCAUCUGAGGAAAUUUGCAUGGAAGGUUCCCAGUCUAAGUUACUCCACUUAAGGGCAGAAGUGACAUUUCUGGGAAGAGGCUCUCAGUCGAGGGCCUGUAGAGAGACACAUUGUCUGACAUCUCUAGGAGCAGAGAUAGAAGAUGAAGUACUCAGGUAGAUUGGCCUGGACAAGAUCAAGUUUUCACCUCUGAGUUUGCAUGUGCUUUGUUUUAAUAGAUAACAUUCUUUGUAGAAAGGGACUAGAAAAUCGGAAAAUAAGGAUAUGCCAUGUUUUUUGAUGUUUUGGAUCUUUUACAAAAUGUAUCUUAGAAAUAUUUAAUUGUUAUGAUCACAUUUUAAUUAAUGCUUAUUUGUAUGGGUAGUAUGAUUUAAUAAAAAGCGAUGUGGUGAAAUGAGUCA
This 897-nucleotide long non-coding RNA is filed under the name Monodelphis domestica (gray short-tailed opossum). Its description in RNAcentral is "lncRNA (ENSMODG00000044633.1)". The record is from RNAcentral. Lineage: Eukaryota; Metazoa; Chordata; Mammalia; Didelphimorphia; Didelphidae.